RNAcentral lists this ribosomal RNA (669 nucleotides) under uncultured bacterium. RNAcentral describes it as "bacterial SSU rRNA". It matches the Rfam family "Bacterial small subunit ribosomal RNA", at positions 93 to 740 of the family's 1533-position model. The record is from RNAcentral.
AAGCGGCGGACGGGUGAGUAACACGUGAUCCAGCUGCCCGCGAGCCCGGGAUAACCGCGGGAAACUGCGGCUAAUACCGGAUGGCCUUGCGUGAACGCAUGUUCGCGCAUGUAAAGGCGGGGAUCCUUCGGGACCUGUCGCUCGAGGAGGCGAUCACGGCCUAUCAGCUAGUUGGCGGGGUAACGGCCCACCAAGGCGAAGACGGGUAGCAGGCCUGAGAGGGUGGUCUGCCACACUGGGACUGAGACACUGCCCAGACUCCUACGGGAGACUGCAGUCGAGAAUCUUCCGCAAUGGGCGAAAGCCUGACGGAGCGACGCCGCGUGGAGGACGAAGGCCCUUGGGUUGUAAACUCCUGUCACGGGUUAUGAAUGUUCAGGCGAUAAUACCGUCUGAAUUGACGUAUGCCCGAGAGGAAGCACCGGCUAACUCUGUGCCAGCAGCCGCGGUAAUACAGAGGGUGCAAACGUUGUUCGGAAUCACUGGGCAUAAAGCGCACGUAGGCGGCCUUGUAAGUGUGGAGUGAAAUCCCACGGCUCAACCGUGGAACUGCUUGGCAUACUGCAAGGCUAGAGGACGGUAGGGGAGAGCGGAACUCCUGGUGGAGCGGUGAAAUGCGUAGAUAUCAGGAGGAACACCGGUGGCGAAGGCGGCUCUCUGGUCCGUUAC